RNAcentral lists this ribosomal RNA (440 nucleotides) under uncultured bacterium. Its description in RNAcentral is "partial 16S ribosomal RNA". It matches the Rfam family "Bacterial small subunit ribosomal RNA", at positions 338 to 795 of the family's 1533-position model. The record is from RNAcentral.
CCUACGGGAGGCAGCAGUGGGGAAUAUUGCACAAUGGGGGAAACCCUGAUGCAGCGACGCCGCGUGAGUGAAGAAGUAUUUCGGUAUGUAAAGCUCUAUCAGCAGGGAAGAAAAUGACGGUACGUGAUUAAGAAGCCCCGGGUAACUUCGUGCCAGCAGCCGCGGUGAUAAGUAGGGAGCCAGCGUUAUCCGGAUUUACUGGGUGUUAAGGGAGCGUAGACGGCAGCACAAGUCUGGAGUGAAAUGCCGGGGGUUAAACCCGGAACUGCCUUGGAAACUGUGCAGCUAGAGUGGAGGAGAGGUAAGUGGAAUUCCUGGUGUAGCGGUGAAAUGCGUAGAUAUUAGGAGGAACACCAGUGGCGAAGGCAGCUUACUGGACUGUAACUGACGUUGAGGCUCGAAAGCGUGGGGAGCAAACAGGAUUAGAUACCCGAGUAGUC